GGUAGAGGCAGUGGCGCUUGAGUUGGUCGGGGGCAGCGGCAGAUGAGGAAACUGAGGCUUGGUGAAGUUACGAAACUUGUCCAAAAUCACACAACUUGUAAAGGGCACAGCCAAGAUUCAGAGCCAGGCUGUAAAAAUUAAAAUGAACAAACUACGGCAAAGUUUUAGGAGAAAGAAGGAUGUUUAUGUUCCAGAGGCCAGUCGUCCACAUCAGUGGCAGACAGAUGAAGAAGGCGUUCGCACUGGAAAAUGUAGCUUCCCGGUUAAGUACCUUGGCCAUGUAGAAGUUGAUGAAUCAAGAGGAAUGCACAUCUGUGAAGAUGCUGUAAAAAGAUUGAAAGCUGUAUGUAUUUGAUGGUUGCCAGUGUUGAUCUAUAUGCUAUCAAUAUUU
This 391-nucleotide long non-coding RNA is filed under the name Pan troglodytes (chimpanzee). RNAcentral's name for it is "long non-coding RNA NONPTRT005124". Lineage: Eukaryota; Metazoa; Chordata; Mammalia; Primates; Hominidae. The record is from RNAcentral.